CAUCAUGGUGCUGAGAGGCUGAUGCACCCGGAGCGGACAUGGAAGCCCGCCAGGUUCCUCUGUCCAUGGCGUUCUCCAGGCAAGAAUACUGUAGUGGGUAGCCAUUUCCUUCUCCAGGGAAUAAUAAACCAGUAACAAUGUGAGAACUGGACCAUAAUGAAGGCUGAACAUCAAAGAACUGAUGUUUUUGAAUUGUGGCGCUGGAGAAGACUCUUGAGAGUCCCGUGAACUGCAAGGAGAUCAAACCAGUCAAUCCUGAAGGAAAUCAACCCUGAAUAUUCAUUGGAAGGACUGAUGCUGAAGCUGAAGCUCCACCUGAUGGGAGGAGUCGACUCAUUGGUAAAGACCCUGAUGCUGGGAAAGAUCGAAGGCAAAAGGAGAAGGAGGCUGCAGAGGAUGAGAUGGUAGGAGCUGGCCAAAAGAGGAAAUUGCAGGAGAUUUGGAAGAUGGAGGAGAAGCAGCAGCCAUCCCCCUCCUUCAUUUAUCUCUACUGUACCCCAUCUGCUGCUGCUGCUGCUGCUGCUGCUAAGUCACUUCAGUCGUGUCCCACUCUGUGCGACCCCAUACCCCAUCUAGAAUCCUUUUAGGUCUUUGCUGCUCUGCUAAGUCACUUCAGUCAUGUCCGACUCUGUGCGACCCCAUAGACGGCAGCCCACCAGGCUCCCCCGUCCCUGGGAUUCUCCAGGCAAGAACAGUGGAGUGGGUUGCCAUUUCCUUCUCCAAUGCAUGAAAGUGAAAAGUGAAAGUGAAGUCGCUCAGUCGUGUCCGACCCUCAGCGACCCCAUGGACUGCAGCCUUCCAGGCUCCUUCGUCCACGGGAUUUUCCAGAACCACAUAUGUUUACUGAAAGCAGUCCUUUCUGUGUUCUGGAUUAUGUACAAAGGCUACAGUUUACCGGAGUAUAACUAACUGGAAAUGGAAAAGGCCCACAGGUAGGAACAACUUUUAUCAGGGAAAAAGGGUUCUAGUUAUUAAUAUAUAAGUUUUCCUUGUAUUGCUAUUUCUUAUCAGUGUUUAUUAGAGCAUUUGAAAGGAUAAUGAUGAAGUUCAUCCUCGUGUACAUCAAAAUCAUUUGUGAGCUCUGAAAAAAUAUGUAUGUAAAAAACUGGUCCCUAUCUGGGACUUUCUGAAUUGGAAUCUCCAGGGAGCAGCUUAAGCAUUUGCUUUUUUAAAAGCUGUGCAAUUUACACCCUGGCUUUUAUGAUGUGGACUUUCUUUGUUCAUAAACCACUUUCCCAUACGGCUCUGCCUAUGUUCUUCUUCUGAUUUUGAUGUAAAACAAUAAAG
Molecule: long non-coding RNA, 1287 nt
Organism: Bos taurus (domestic cattle)
Lineage: Eukaryota; Metazoa; Chordata; Mammalia; Artiodactyla; Bovidae
Source: Ensembl